RNAcentral lists this long non-coding RNA (370 nucleotides) under Homo sapiens (human). RNAcentral describes it as "HSALNT0055696". Lineage: Eukaryota; Metazoa; Chordata; Mammalia; Primates; Hominidae. The record is from RNAcentral.
CAACUUUUGAAACCCGGGCAAUCUGGCUUUGGCAUUUGAAAACCAUUUCAAACAGGUCACACGCGCUCUUACACACACCCGCAUCCUUAAACUUUGGGACCAACUUUUUAGGACACGGGAAACUACAGGCAAGAGAGAGAAGCCAUGGUGCUAGUGUGGGUUCAGGAGAGAUUCCAAGAAAUGAGGGGGGUACGUUGAAACGAUGAAGAAAGGAUGGACACAGCAGUCGAGGUUGAGAGGAUUCCAGGUGUCACCACAGCAGCUGAGAAAGGAAAGAACUUGGAAUUUAGCAUACGUCAGGUUUUAGAUGUGGAAAAGCCCCAAAAGAAGGAGUAGUACCUGUGUGAGGAACGCUGGAAAAUAACUGCAG